UACUGACACAGGUGCUGCAUGGCUGUCGUCAGCUCGUGUCGUGAGAUGUUGGGUUAAGUCCGUAACGAGCGCAACCCUUGUCCUUAGUUACCAGCACGUUAUGGUGGGCACUCUAAGGAGACUGCCGGUGACAAACCGGAGGAAGGUGGGGAGUGACGUCAAGUCAUCAUGGCCCUUACGGCCUGGGCUACACACGUGCUACAAUGGUCGGUACAAAGGGUUGCCAAGCCGCGAGGUGGAGCUAAUCCCAUAAAACCGAUCGUAGUCCGGAUCGCAGUCUGCAACUCGACUGCGUGAAGUCGGAAUCGCUAGUAAUCGUGAAUCAGAAUGUCACGGUGAAUACGUUCCCGGGCCUU
This 356-nucleotide ribosomal RNA is filed under the name uncultured Pseudomonas sp. Its description in RNAcentral is "bacterial SSU rRNA". It matches the Rfam family "Bacterial small subunit ribosomal RNA", at positions 1027 to 1382 of the family's 1533-position model. Lineage: Bacteria; Pseudomonadati; Pseudomonadota; Gammaproteobacteria; Pseudomonadales; Pseudomonadaceae. The record is from RNAcentral.